This 738-nucleotide long non-coding RNA is filed under the name Marmota monax (woodchuck). The record is from RNAcentral. Lineage: Eukaryota; Metazoa; Chordata; Mammalia; Rodentia; Sciuridae.
GGAUGUGUUGAUUUUGUGUCAUAGUGUUUAAUAGUGUCAGCCUUCCAUAAUGGAACUUCAGUUAUGAGAGACCAAGAGUAAAUAUCACUAAGGACUUUGCAUUCUCAUGUGGUGACAGGAUUAGUGUUUUUGGUUGCUCACAGGACAGUUGUGUCCUAUUAGAUAUAAGUAUGGCCUUCUUAUUACCUUGGCUUGGAGAUUGCAUUUAAGAAAUUGUACAAGUGUGCCAGGCAGACAAAGGGAAGGCUUGUGAUAGCUAAUUUUAUGUUAGCUUGGCUAGGUCACAGUGCACUGCUAUUUGGUCAGAGAUUGUCCUGGAUGUUUUUGAAUGGUAUUAAUAUUUAAGUCACUAGACGUGGAGUAAAGCAGAUUGCCUUCCAUAAUGUGAGUCUCAUCAGUUGAAGCCCAUAAUGCAACAAAGACUGGCCUCCCAGCCAGAAGGAACUCUGGCAGCGUAAUUCCUCUGGAUUUGAACUGCAGUGCUUCCCUGGGUCUCCAGCCUGCUGGCUACCCUGCAGAGCUGGGAUUACCUCACCUCUAUGUUGUGAACCAGUUCUUUAAAGCAAAUUUCCAUUUCUGUAUGCAUACACACAUCCCGGUGGUUUCUAGAGUGCCUGUUCCAGUGGGCUGUAUUUUAGAAGGAUAUUUUAUUAGCACUGCAUGAUUUUUUUAAAGUACAUGAUUGUAAUAUAAUUAAUCAGAAAAUUCGUUAGCUUAUAAAAAUGUAAACUAUAGAAA